UACGAACCGUCCAAACGUUAUUCGGAAUUACUCGGCUUAAAGGGUUUGUAGGCGGCCUUGUAAGUGGGGUGUGAAAUCCCUCGGCUCAACCGAGGAAUAGCGCUCCAAACUACAUGGCUUGAGGGAGACAGGGGUAGGCGGAACUGAUGGUGGAGCGGUGAAAUGCGUUGAUAUCAUCAGGAACACCGGUGGCGAAAGCGGCUUACUGGGUCUCUUCUGACGCUGAGAAACGAAAGCUAGGGUAGCGAACGGG
RNAcentral lists this ribosomal RNA (253 nucleotides) under uncultured bacterium. Its description in RNAcentral is "partial 16S ribosomal RNA". It matches the Rfam family "Bacterial small subunit ribosomal RNA", at positions 524 to 776 of the family's 1533-position model. The record is from RNAcentral.